CAGCUGCAGAAUUUGCCACUGACAUCACAUAUAUAUGCAGGAUUUGAUGCAGCAAGGGCCAUUUGUUUGACAGAAAUAGAGUUGUUACCGCAAGAGAAAAUUGAUGAGGCAAUUGGAAGAAUUGAGCAGCAAUUUUACUACAGAUCUGCGCCAUUGAUCUGGUAUUUAUAUUUUGAAGCAAUUCCGUCAGGAACAGAUGAUCACACAAUAACUUUUGAUAAGGAGGAAAGCUAUGCCCGUUCGCUGGAAGCCAGGCAACCCGGCGCCAUCGUCGAGGAGAGCGAGGAGGGGCUAGAUUGUGCCGCCAUAGAGGUGAGCUAUGAGGGGCUGCGGCAUCCCUGCAUAGGAGGGGGAGAGAAGCCGCCACCACACCAGGUGAUUCACUGA
Molecule: ribosomal RNA, 387 nt
Filed under: Triticum aestivum (bread wheat)
Lineage: Eukaryota; Viridiplantae; Streptophyta; Magnoliopsida; Poales; Poaceae
Description: partial small subunit ribosomal RNA
Source: RNAcentral